This 218-nucleotide long non-coding RNA is filed under the name Capsicum annuum. RNAcentral's name for it is "long non-coding RNA (CANN_LNC003943)". The record is from RNAcentral. Lineage: Eukaryota; Viridiplantae; Streptophyta; Magnoliopsida; Solanales; Solanaceae.
UGGUAUCCUAGGGGCAUAAGCCUAUCAUGGGUCGAUCCCUAGUUAUGUGUUUAUGGGUGGUAUCCCAGGGGCAUAAGCCUAGCAUAGGUCGAUCCCAGUUGAUAUGUACUGGAGGCAGCCUAAUGGUCACAGUACAGUAAUGAUUACAAAGAUGAUAAGAACAAAGGUAAAGUGAUUGAAUAAAUACAAUGUACAGGUUGUCACAAGUUCUAGUAAGU